AUGGAAAAAAUGGCAGGAAGUAAUAAGGAGCAGAACAUAGUUGAAGACAAAUUAUCUCAGGAAGACAUAGAAUAUGUCCUUGAGAAUGACAGCAUAGAACAGGCAAUAAAAUUGAGCCAAGAAGAUGAAAAAAGGCACAUGCCAGCCCUUGGAAUGACAUUUGAAAGUGAUGCUCAUGCACACCGAUUCUAUAAUGAAUAUUCAGCUAUUGCUGGGUUUUCAAUUCAGAAAGCUGCAAACUAUCACUGCCAGAAGAAAGAUGCACACAACAACAAAAUGACGAGGUUCACUAUGAAGUGUAACAGAUCUGGUAAACCUAGGAUAAGGACAAAACCAACAGCUGCAUGA
RNAcentral lists this ribosomal RNA (348 nucleotides) under Triticum aestivum (bread wheat). Its description in RNAcentral is "partial small subunit ribosomal RNA". Lineage: Eukaryota; Viridiplantae; Streptophyta; Magnoliopsida; Poales; Poaceae. The record is from RNAcentral.